This 1519-nucleotide ribosomal RNA is filed under the name Enterobacter cloacae MR2. RNAcentral's name for it is "bacterial SSU rRNA". It matches the Rfam family "Bacterial small subunit ribosomal RNA". Lineage: Bacteria; Pseudomonadati; Pseudomonadota; Gammaproteobacteria; Enterobacterales; Enterobacteriaceae. The record is from RNAcentral.
AGAGUUUGAUCAUGGCUCAGAUUGAACGCUGGCGGCAGGCCUAACACAUGCAAGUCGAACGGUAGCACAGAGAGCUUGCUCUCGGGUGACGAGUGGCGGACGGGUGAGUAAUGUCUGGGAAACUGCCUGAUGGAGGGGGAUAACUACUGGAAACGGUAGCUAAUACCGCAUAACGUCGCAAGACCAAAGAGGGGGACCUUCGGGCCUCUUGCCAUCAGAUGUGCCAGAUGGGAUUAGCUAGUAGGUGGGGUAACGGCUCACCUAGGCGACGAUCCCUAGCUGGUCUGAGAGGAUGACCAGCCACACUGGAACUGAGACACGGUCCAGACUCCUACGGGAGGCAGCAGUGGGGAAUAUUGCACAAUGGGCGCAAGCCUGAUGCAGCCAUGCCGCGUGUAUGAAGAAGGCCUUCGGGUUGUAAAGUACUUUCAGCGGGGAGGAAGGUGUUGUGGUUAAUAACCGCAGCAAUUGACGUUACCCGCAGAAGAAGCACCGGCUAACUCCGUGCCAGCAGCCGCGGUAAUACGGAGGGUGCAAGCGUUAAUCGGAAUUACUGGGCGUAAAGCGCACGCAGGCGGUCUGUCAAGUCGGAUGUGAAAUCCCCGGGCUCAACCUGGGAACUGCAUUCGAAACUGGCAGGCUAGAGUCUUGUAGAGGGGGGUAGAAUUCCAGGUGUAGCGGUGAAAUGCGUAGAGAUCUGGAGGAAUACCGGUGGCGAAGGCGGCCCCCUGGACAAAGACUGACGCUCAGGUGCGAAAGCGUGGGGAGCAAACAGGAUUAGAUACCCUGGUAGUCCACGCCGUAAACGAUGUCGAUUUGGAGGUUGUGCCCUUGAGGCGUGGCUUCCGGAGCUAACGCGUUAAAUCGACCGCCUGGGGAGUACGGCCGCAAGGUUAAAACUCAAAUGAAUUGACGGGGGCCCGCACAAGCGGUGGAGCAUGUGGUUUAAUUCGAUGCAACGCGAAGAACCUUACCUGGUCUUGACAUCCACAGAACUUUCCAGAGAUGGAUUGGUGCCUUCGGGAACUGUGAGACAGGUGCUGCAUGGCUGUCGUCAGCUCGUGUUGUGAAAUGUUGGGUUAAGUCCCGCAACGAGCGCAACCCUUAUCCUUUGUUGCCAGCGGUCCGGCCGGGAACUCAAAGGAGACUGCCAGUGAUAAACUGGAGGAAGGUGGGGAUGACGUCAAGUCAUCAUGGCCCUUACGACCAGGGCUACACACGUGCUACAAUGGCGCAUACAAAGAGAAGCGACCUCGCGAGAGCAAGCGGACCUCAUAAAGUGCGUCGUAGUCCGGAUUGGAGUCUGCAACUCGACUCCAUGAAGUCGGAAUCGCUAGUAAUCGUAGAUCAGAAUGCUACGGUGAAUACGUUCCCGGGCCUUGUACACACCGCCCGUCACACCAUGGGAGUGGGUUGCAAAAGAAGUAGGUAGCUUAACCUUCGGGAGGGCGCUUACCACUUUGUGAUUCAUGACUGGGGUGAAGUCGUAACAAGGUAACCGUAGGGGAACCUGCGGUUG